AGAACGAACGCUGGCGGCAGGCUUAACACAUGCAAGUCGAACGCCCCGCAAGGGGAGUGGCAGACGGGUGAGUAACACGUGGGAACAUGCCCAAAGGUACGGAACAACUCCGGGAAACUGGAGCUAAUACCGUAUGUGCCCGAAAGGGGAAAGAUUUAUCGCCUUUGGAUUGGCCCGCGUCGGAUUAGCUAGUUGGUGGGGUAAAAGCCUACCAAGGCGACGAUCCGUAGCUGGUCUGAGAGGAUGAUCAGCCACACUGGGACUGAGAUACGGCCCAGACUCCUACGGGAGGCAGCAGUGGGGAAUAUUGGACAAUGGGGGCAACCCUGAUCCAGCAAUGCCGCGUGAGUGAUGAAGGCCUUAGGGUUGUAAAGCUCUUUUGGCGGGGACGAUGAUGACGGUACCCGCAGAAUAAGCCCCGGCUAACUUCGUGCCAGCAGCCGC
This 444-nucleotide ribosomal RNA is filed under the name uncultured bacterium. RNAcentral's name for it is "SSU rRNA". It matches the Rfam family "Bacterial small subunit ribosomal RNA", at positions 26 to 518 of the family's 1533-position model. The record is from RNAcentral.